Molecule: non-coding RNA, 125 nt
Filed under: bovine gut metagenome
Description: FMN riboswitch (RFN element)
Rfam family: FMN riboswitch aptamer (RFN element)
About the family: The RFN element is a highly conserved domain that is found frequently in the 5'-untranslated regions of prokaryotic mRNAs that encode for flavin mononucleotide (FMN) biosynthesis and transport proteins. This element is a metabolite-dependent riboswitch that directly binds FMN in the absence of proteins. In Bacillus subtilis, the riboswitch most likely controls gene expression by causing premature transcription termination within the 5' untranslated region of the ribDEAHT operon and precluding access to the ribosome-binding site of ypaA mRNA.
Source: RNAcentral
UAUCUUCAGGGCGGGGUGAAAGUCCCCACCGGCGGUGAAUGGCAAAGCCAUGAGUCCGCGAACCGCUGAGGCGGCCGAUCCGGUGCAACUCCGGAACCGACGGUAUAGUCCGGACGAAAGAAGAG